This 550-nucleotide ribosomal RNA is filed under the name bacterium BaP2-74. Its description in RNAcentral is "bacterial SSU rRNA". It matches the Rfam family "Bacterial small subunit ribosomal RNA", at positions 79 to 615 of the family's 1533-position model. The record is from RNAcentral.
CUCUCCUGAUAGGUUAGCGGCGGACGGGUGAGUAACACGUAGGCAACCUGCCUGCAAGACCGGGAUAACCCACGGAAACGUGAGCUAAUACCGGAUAUCUCAUUUCCUCUCCUGAGGGGAUGAUGAAAGACGGAGCAAUCUGUCACUUGCGGAUGGGCCUGCGGCGCAUUAGCUAGUUGGUGAGGUAACGGCUCACCAAGGCGACGAUGCGUAGCCGACCUGAGAGGGUGAACGGCCACACUGGGACUGAGACACGGCCCAGACUCCUACGGGAGGCAGCAGUAGGGAAUCUUCCGCAAUGGGCGAAAGCCUGACGGAGCAACGCCGCGUGAGUGAUGAAGGUUUUCGGAUCGUAAAGCUCUGUUGCCAGGGAAGAACGUCCGGUAGAGUAACUGCUAUCGGAGUGACGGUACCUGAGAAGAAAGCCCCGGCUAACUACGUGCCAGCAGCCGCGGUAAUACGUAGGGGGCAAGCGUUGUCCGGAAUUAUUGGGCGUAAAGCGCGCGCAGGCGGUCAUGUAAGUCUGGUGUUUAAGGCCAAGGCUCAACCU